CCUACGGGAGGCAGCAGUGGGGAAUCUUGCACUAUGGGCGCAAGCCGGAUGCAGCCAUGCCGCGUGUAUGAAGAAGGCCUUCGGGUUGUAAAGUACUUUCAACGGGGAGGAAGGAGAUAGAGUUAAUACCUGUGCUCAUUGACAUUACCCGCAGAAGAAGCACCGGCUAACUCCGUGGCAGCAGCCGCGGUAAU
RNAcentral lists this ribosomal RNA (194 nucleotides) under uncultured gamma proteobacterium GT04. Its description in RNAcentral is "partial 16S ribosomal RNA". It matches the Rfam family "Bacterial small subunit ribosomal RNA", at positions 338 to 524 of the family's 1533-position model. The record is from RNAcentral. Lineage: Bacteria; Pseudomonadati; Pseudomonadota; Gammaproteobacteria.